AUUUAUCCCCGACCAGGAUGCAUUACCUAAUCAAUCUACAGUCUCUGCAGCAGUUCAGACACCUGUGCCAAAGCCAGGCGGCAGAGACCUCAAGAAUAAUGAUGCUGGAUGUCAAUUUGCAGCACUGACGACCACAACAUCCUCCGCAGCCAACCAGCAUCAAUCCAACACAGAUCCACAGUCCAAUGUCUGCAUCAGUGGUGCUGAAUAUCAGGAAAUGCAGCCACUUUCUGUGCAAGCAGAGUCCCCAGAUGUUCAGCAGAUGGAAAACAGGAAACGAAUCCCCUCUUCACAGGGACUCCUGGCCACCACCAACACCAGGCGUGCAGUUCAGAGCACGCCUGUACCUCUAAGCUCUCAUGGUGGUGCACAGAAUGAUUCUGCUCCUCCAAUGUUAGGUCUGAGGUUGCUAAAAUUCUCCAGCCCUCUGCUGUCCCAGCACACCUCUUCACAAAAUCCACCGGCACCUCAACCACACGCAUAUCCCACUGCAAACCAGGAAAUCCCCAGAUCUUUUCAGGCAAAGACUAAACUUGACUUCAACAAAGGGAGGGAAGUCAGCAAUACAUUUUCAUCUCCAAUAACUCGCCCAUACAAAUCAACUUCCAGGACUUCUCAUCCCCAAAUUUGGCCUUCAGGACAGUCUGCAAGUUCCCCGCAGCUCCCUCCUGCUUUUCCUGCUCAUACACCUUCACCGUUUCAGGGACUUCGCCUGCUGCAGCUGCAGCCACCUCCACAUCACAACAUCACCUUCCCUAAAUUACCACUCCCAUCAUUCUCUAGACCUUCUGCACUCAUUCCAGUUCCAGUGACGGAAACGCCUCCGAUCAAACUUCUGCAGAUCAACCGUGGGCCCAAAGUGGUAAGCAUCAACGUUUAGGAAUUUACCAUCUUUACAUUCUGGUUCGACAGUUACAUGUAGUUUUUUGGAUGUACCACAGAUAUUGCCCCAGCCAGUUCCCUCAACCCACACGCCCCGUCUGAUCUCUAUGGAAGAGUUGCAGAAUUUAGGGGUUGGGCAACAGGAACUGGAAAAAACUCCUCUUCAGUUGCUCAGAGUUCAAAAAUCUCCUGAAAAGCCCAUCACCUCAUCCAGCUGUGCCCCCAACAAAAGGCAUAAAAGAAGAGAGGAAAAGGCAAAAGGGGGGAAAUCUGAGGUCACGUUUAGACCAAAUGAGUCUAUCAUCCCUACUCAAGAGACUCCAGCGUUGCCUACAAGUGAGGAACCUGCAGUUGUUGAGAAAAUCCGCUCUGAUCAGGACAUCCCAGAACCUGCAGUUGACUCCCUAACCGGUCAGAAACUGUUGGGUAAGAUCUUUUCCACUUCAGCUGAGCUCCAAGCCAUGGCUUCCACAAGUAAGCGUCCCCCGGAGUGUUAUGACGUGUCCACCAACACAGACUCGGAUUGUCCCCCACAACUUGUGGAUAAAGCCAUAUCUGUCCAAGCCUCUGUGAUGACUGGCAGCCCAAAAUCAACAAGUUCAGCAAAUUUCCAAAUUUUUUGUGAAGAUCCUGUUCGAGACGGAGAGCAGCAACCAUGGCAACCAGAGAAGAAUACCAUUCCACCUGGCCGCCAGUUUCUAAGUGUUUUAGAUUUCGAAGGUGAAGACGGAUCCCCACGUCCUGCUCCAGAAAUACGAGACGUUCCUUCCGUUCGACCUUCCUCGCCCGCAUCUUCUCAGCUUCAUGUUCUUGCAACCUCCGUCCUCAGGAAUGACUUUUCUGCUGUCCAAAUUCCAGAUAACUGUGUGCCGCUCACCACGCCCCCAGAAAUGCCCGAGGAGUCUUCCUCAGAAAGCAGCCGCGGGUCCAGAAGCGUUUUAGAAAGGGUUACAUCCCAGAACAUGACAGAGAACUUGCCUGAAUCUGAGAUCUGCCGAGCCAUCAGGAACCAGAGUGGCGUCCGUCAGAACGCCUCGCCUUCACUCCUUUCAGUGGGGUUCUCCUCACGCCUCUCAGUACUGGACGCCCAGCUUGCUGCGCUGCAGAACAUCGCGGAUCAUCUUGAGACGGACCUCGUAAAAUCCAGAAUGGUGGUGAACUCCCUGGAAAAGCUUUCCUCACCGAGUUUGAAGCCCACAAAGGCAACAAAGAAAACUGUCAGAUUGUCUCUUCCUCUGCAAGCAUGGACACAGAGACCUGAUCCAGCCCUUUCAGCUGGAAUAAAUGCAUCAGAGCUUGAUAAAAACCCUACACAGCAUGACGAUAAAGACCUGCUUCUCAGUGAUGAAGCUGGAGCCUCCUCCUUUCACUCACCACCAGAUAACUUUACAGAUGCAGACGAGAUAUCUCAUGAGUGGACGGAUGCUGAUCCGGGCCAAUCCGAGUUAUCUGAUACGGUGGAAUUGUUAGACGAGCUGCUAAAGGAAGGAUAUUUAUUUCCAACCGACCUGGAUAUGUCAGAAUCCCAGACUGUGCAGCACAACAGCAAGCAAGACCUGCAGCAGAGUGGCUGGAUGUCAGAGGGACGGGCUUUUUCCCGGGAGGACAGGAAUGAACUGAGGAUAUGGAUGAGAAGGAAACACAGGGAACGACUGGCUGCAUAUCAGAAACACAGAGCACGUCUGAGGGAGCAGGAACACAAACCUUACACUGCCUCUCCAUCCAGGACUCGAGCAGCCUCACGGAAAACCAGAGAAGAUGAAGAAAAGCUGACGCUUCUGGAGCAGUACGACCAGCGCAUGAAGGAGGCUUGUUCUUUGGCCGGUGAAUUCAAUCUUCCUCCGAGAACCCAAGCGAGUUCUUCACGCACUGAAGGUUCUCAGGUUCUGUCCAAAAAGUGGUCAACCGCUGCUCCGCUCAGCAGGCCUCACAGUGUGUCCGUCAGUGGCAAAAGGGGAAAGGCUCGGCUCCACCCGCAGACACACUCUGUGGAAAGACCGCCUUCAGAGGAUCUCCACAGACGACUGGGACUUCAUCGGCCUGUGACUCUUUUACCAGGGGACCGACUGUCUCAGGUGACGAGACGCGGCAUGCUCAGUAAGACGCUCCCUAAACGUGAUGCGGCCAGCCAGAAUGAAACCAGAGACGAUGGACACCAUGGAGAACCUGGACUGAACCAGACAUAUUCAAGAGGGGGUGCUAUAUACAAAAGGAUUCACAGGGAGCUGCCUAAAGUGGAAGGGAGAAGAGAAUUGGACAGUUCAGGACCUCAUAGACCGCAGAGGCUCCAGCGGUCUGACCUUGUUCUCACAGAGCUUGUGGAUGAGGAGGAAAAUGAUCCCCGUGGAGUUUCAGGGAUAGACUGGCUGGACAAUCUGUCUGAGAGUGCAGACAGCUGCCUCAGUAAAAUAGACUGGGCAGCUAUAGAGAGAAUGGCUGCUGCAGAAGAGUCAGAUGUGGACUCUUAAGCAACACAGGAAGAAUAAAUUGUCUUGUCAAGUGCCUAUACUAAUGUAAUAUGUUAUAUUUUAAUACAUUUGUAUAUAUAUAUUUAUUUUAUGUAUUUCUGUACUUUAGUUUUGCACCAACCCCAAUGUUUAAACAGUUAAGUGUUUGCAUUUUCAAAACAUACAAAUAGAGUGAGCUUUUUGGAGCAAAUUCUGAGCAUGUAUUUUUAGCCAUUAAACUGUAAAUGAUAAAUUUGAUAUCAGUGCUUGGCUCAGUUUAUUGUUAGGAAUAAAGAAGGCACGGAAAGAAGGUGUUUGGUUGGUGACCUUUGACAUUGCAUGUGCUCUGAAUGGCACUUUCUACUGCAGGUUAUGAGGUUUCUUUUUAGUUUUUGUAUACAACGUUUUCAAAUUUUCAAUUCACAAAGACGUUUUUGUUCUAUGAGAUUUCUGGGUCCUCCACAAAACUUAACUGCACUUUUAAUGGAGCGGUAUGUUUAUUUUGAUUCACCUGCUGUCUUUAACAUAAGCCAUUAAAAAAUGCCAUUUGAAUUAUGUUAAGGAUAGGAUGAGGUGUUUCUCGCAAUGACAUGACAAACUGAAUGAAGAAAGUUAUCACAUAAGAGAAAAAGGGAAAGAUUAUCUUGUAGAAAUCAGUGUAAAUCAAUGUUUCCAUUUAAUAGGACAGUAGCCUAAAUGGCAGCACAUUGAGUAACUUCUGACAGGAGAAAGAUGCUGCUUAGUUGGUCAGUUUAACCCUGGAGGACAUUAGAACAAUUUUCUUUUAGGCUUUUAUAGUUAAUUUCCCAGCUUUGUUGUUUGUUCAUUUUGGUAAUCAGCAACAAAAAAGGAAAAAAAAACCCCACUGUGGGUUCUCCAGGGUUAAACAAUACAUUUAUGUCAAAUUCUAUGAUUGUAACUAGUUU
Molecule: long non-coding RNA, 4255 nt
Filed under: Oryzias sinensis (Chinese medaka)
Lineage: Eukaryota; Metazoa; Chordata; Actinopteri; Beloniformes; Adrianichthyidae
Description: lncRNA (ENSOSIG00000023479.1)
Source: RNAcentral